GUUGGGCUUCCUCCGGUGCAAACCAGUUCUGUGAGAAGAGAGCAGAAGAAUGAAAAGGAAGCAUGCAGGUCUGAAUGAUUUUUGAAGGGGAAAGCUAUCCAUUGUGCAGACCCUCCUUCAAAUGAAUAGAUCUGCAUUAAAAGUGUUCGUGAACUUGGCGAUGGACUAUGAUUUAAUCCAUUGUGGAGACUUUUCCACCAGAGUAAGUGAAAUGCAUGUAAGGGGAGUGCUGGGUGAUUUUUCCUUCCUUCACCACCUUUGUGUUUGUCACCUUGGUGGCAAGGGAAUUGUUCCCCUGUCCUCAUCUGCUGGUGAGGGCGCUCGGUUAUGGG
Molecule: long non-coding RNA, 332 nt
Organism: Gallus gallus (chicken)
Lineage: Eukaryota; Metazoa; Chordata; Aves; Galliformes; Phasianidae
Source: Ensembl